Apaloderma vittatum (bar-tailed trogon) is the source of this 75-nucleotide non-coding RNA. The record is from Rfam. Lineage: Eukaryota; Metazoa; Chordata; Aves; Trogoniformes; Trogonidae.
GGGGUGGUGAGCUCAGUCGGUUGGAGCGUGGUGCUGAUAACACCAAGGCCGCGGGUUCGAUCCCCGUUUGGUCCC